Molecule: long non-coding RNA, 270 nt
Filed under: Olea europaea subsp. europaea
Lineage: Eukaryota; Viridiplantae; Streptophyta; Magnoliopsida; Lamiales; Oleaceae
Source: RNAcentral
UAAAAAUUUCUCUUCUUAAUGGAUUAAUAAAAGUAAACAACAGCAGAGCCUAUUUCUUCCUCUAGGGUUUUGCAGAGUCGAAGUUUCGAUCAUGGAUUAUAUCAUUUGGACUCAAUUUUAGGGUUUCUGUCGUCCAUACUGUAAUGGAGAGGGCUUUUAUUUGAUUUUUGUUUUUGACGUGGGUUUUAUCGUGGUGGUUUGAAGGUCUUCUGCAAGAAUUAUUCGCGGAUUAUCUCAAGUUUCAACCUUUUUUGUUCUUGAGGUUUGAAC